AUUGAACGCUGGCGGCAGGCCUAACACAUGCAAGUCGAGCGGAUGAAGGGAGCUUGCUCCUGGAUUCAGCGGCGGACGGGUGAGUAAUGCCUAGGAAUCUGCCUGGUAGUGGGGGAUAACGUCCGGAAACGGGCGCUAAUACCGCAUAGGUCCUGAGGGAGAAAGUGGGGGAUCUUCGGACCUCACGCUAUCAGAUGAGCCUAGGUCGGAUUAGCUAGUUGGUGGGGUAAAGGCCUACCAAGGCGACGAUCCGUAACUGGUCUGAGAGGAUGAUCAGUCACACUGGAACUGAGACACGGUCCAGACUCCUACGGGAGGCAGCAGUGGGGAAUUUUGGCCAAUGGGCGAAAGCCUGAUCCAGCAAUGCCGCGUGUGUGAAGAAGGUCUUCGGAUUGUAAAGCACUUUAAGUUGGGAGGAAGGGCAGUAAGUUAAUACCUUGCUGUUUUGACGUUACCAGCAGAAUAAGCACCGGCUAACUUCGUG
Molecule: ribosomal RNA, 484 nt
Filed under: uncultured bacterium
Lineage: Bacteria
Description: partial 16S ribosomal RNA
Rfam family: Bacterial small subunit ribosomal RNA
Source: RNAcentral